Otolemur garnettii (small-eared galago) is the source of this 107-nucleotide small nuclear RNA. The record is from Ensembl. NCBI's taxonomy places the organism in Eukaryota, Metazoa, Chordata, Mammalia, Primates, Galagidae.
GUGCUUACUGCAGCAGCACAUAUACUAAAAUUGGAAUGAUACAGAAAAGAUUAGCAUGGCUCCUGCACACGGAUGACAUGCAAAUUCAUGAAGCUUUCCAUAUUUAU